GAUGAACGCUGGCGGCGUGCCUAAUACAUGCAAGUCGAGCGAACAGACGAUGAUCUUGCUCCUCUGACGUUAGCGGCGGACGGGUGUGUAACACGUGUAUAACCUACCUAUAUGUCUGGUAUAACUUCGGGAAACCGGAGCUAAUACCGGAUAAUAUAUUGAACCGCAUGGUUCUUUAGUUAAAUUCGUUUUUUCUGUCUCUUAUAGAUGUUUCCGCGCCGCAUUAUCUAGUUGGUAAGGUAACGGCUUACCAAGGCAACGAUGCGUAGCCGACCUGAGCGGGGGAGCGGCAACACGGGAAGUGAGAAACGGACAAGAGUACUACGGGAGGGAGCAGUAGGGAAUGGUCCGCAAUGGGGGAAAGCAUGACGGAGCAACGCCGAGUGAGUGAUGAAGGUCUUAGGAUCGUAAAACUGUGUUAUGAGGGAAGAAAAAAUGUGUAAGUAAAAAAGCACGUAUUGACGGUAACUAAUAAGAAAGCAACGGCUAACUACGUG
RNAcentral lists this ribosomal RNA (497 nucleotides) under uncultured bacterium. RNAcentral describes it as "partial 16S ribosomal RNA". It matches the Rfam family "Bacterial small subunit ribosomal RNA", at positions 28 to 507 of the family's 1533-position model. The record is from RNAcentral.